RNAcentral lists this long non-coding RNA (482 nucleotides) under Brassica napus (rape). Its description in RNAcentral is "long non-coding RNA (BNAP_LNC020620)". Lineage: Eukaryota; Viridiplantae; Streptophyta; Magnoliopsida; Brassicales; Brassicaceae. The record is from RNAcentral.
AAAUUAAUCCAAUUAUAAACCAAUAAGUAUAUAUAAUAUAAUAACUUGAAUGGUGAUUCUAGAUUCUGGUUUUUGGUUUUUAAUUUUUUUAAAAAAAAUUGAUUUAUUAAUACUUAACUUGUUAAAUUUUCAAAAUUAAUCCUAUUAUUGGUAUUAUUUAUUAAACUGAUAUUUAUUUUAGUAAUUUAAGUUUGUCUGGAAAGAAAUUAACUUAUAAGUGAAGUUUUUAAAAAUAGUAAAUAACUUUGAAAUUAAAUAAAUAACUAAUCAAACUUUUGAGAAACUCAAAAAUAUAUGUUACCUAUCUAAGAAGCUCCACUCAUACCAAAACCUAACAUAUACAAAUCUAAAGGCAUACCUCUCUCUCUCUUAAUUAUAUUUCAAACUAACUUAAGGUCAAAAACAUUUUAAGUGGUCUAUGAGAUAUUUUCUAGUUUCACAAAAGUUUAAUAAGUUAAGUAUUAAUAAAUCAAAAUUUAAAA